GGGUUGUAAUUGAAUCCGCUGUCAGACCCAUGGGGCUCAGUUCUUCAGCUUGGAUAUUUCUGUCUUCACAUACACAGGAGAUCAAAGAAGCACUUGAUCAUUCGCUGACUCUUCUGGAUGGUGAUAGCAGCAAGUAGGAGAGAAAGAAUAACUGAUGUGAAUCACUUUUAACAGGGAGGUUUCAUUGCAAAAGCCAGGCUCUCUCAUGUUAAAUAGCUAUGUAGUGAUUGAAUCUUUCCUUAGCUGAUAUGCUUCGUGUUGCUGCUCACUGUUUAAUUCACUCUGUUCUUUCCUCUCAGUUUUAUGAAGGUUACAUGUAAGUCCCUGAGAUAUCGUUGAUUAAAUGACGGUCCCCAAAUACUGCAAAGAGGUGCAGUGCUCCUAACGGCACCUAUGGUGAGCUGCACUAGGUCAGUCAAGCCCUGGACCUCCCCGGUCUGAAGGCCAUGUUUACCUACUGAUAAUCUGCUGUAACCUCCUCUGUCUGGUACUGCUGCUGUACAGUUUCUCUUGCUUUGUCUUAUGCCAAAGACCCAUUUUCAGACAACAAAACCACUGAGUUGUGACUGUAAAGAAUAUGCAUUUGUACCAGUCACCAGCACACUCACAUAAACACAGAUUUGCUUUGCUGAAGAUGGUGAUGUGCUCCCAAAGUGUUUGGAGCAGGGAGCAUCUAGUGUAAUCAGUGAUGGCAGUGUGUGUGCUGUUUGAAGGCUCAGCAGCAUAAGCAUUCCCUUAUUGGGGGAUUCAUUCAAGUCACAGGUUGAUUUUUUUCUUUUUUCCUCAGAGGAUCUAUGUUCAAAUUUUUUGUUCAGCCAUCAGGAAAAGUAAUAUUUGUGGUCUUUAAGCAUGUAAAAAGUUAUUAUUACCAAUGAGCUUUCCACCUCUUUCCUGCAAUAAUAACACCUUCCUAAAUUACAUUUUUCCAACUCAGUAAAGUGGAUCAUGCACUGAUCUUAUCCCUGUGGUGCUUUUAAAAGCAUAGAAAUAUUAAAAUCCCACAGGUGCAGGAGCAGCGCAUUCAGCUAAGUAGCUUAAAACUGUCAUGUGCCUUUUAUUCUGAAAAUGUAUUUACACUAAAAAUAAUCAGAUAUAAUCACUGUUGCCUGUGGAUACAGAUGUACCUUUAUACUGAUGUGCUUUUCAUAUAAAUUUUUAUUCUAGGUUUUGAAGAGUUUCUUUGUGGCUGUCUGAAAGGUAUCAUGCUCACCAGUCUAGAGAUUAUAGUUCUUGGAAGAGCUCACCAGUUCCACCAGCUCCUGCUGCAGGAAUAUCCAUUAAACAAGAGGGAGAAACACACAAAGCAAAGGAUGAUAUUGAAGUUUCUUUUUUUUUUUUUUUUUUAUUUGGCUGAAGGUGUAAAACUUCAUCUACUUCCUUCACUAUGAAGCCCAGCCUCCAGGCAGUGAUGCAGCAGAGAAGAUGGUGUGUGUAUGGUGGUAACCACACAAGGCCACUGAUGAAAUCAAGACGGUCCUUGGUUACAGGAGUCUUUGCAGUCCCAUCUCUUUGAGGGCAGUCCUCAAAAUGUGGUGCUACUAGAGUUACUCCUGAACCUUGCUUGCCCUGGAUGACAAAGCACCUUCUUUUUGGAUAUUCUUGGGAUCUUUAAACCAGUAAGUUUUCAAGACCCAGACUGUCCUACUGACAGUGCUGUGUCUUUCCAGCAGACUAGAAAGUAUUUUUAGCAUGUGGUUUCAAAACAAUGAACUUUCCGUCUGCCUAAUUAUGCUGCCUCGCAGAAUACACGUUUAUUCUACUUCACUGUAACCGGGGCAGUCCUCAGGAUGCCCCAGCCUGCAGCUCACGCCCCAGCCAGCCCGCACAGGGAUACGUGCCUCUCAGCACACUGCAGUAUUGCAGUGUCACAGUGCCGAAGGUAAAGCGGCUCAGUGACUCAUUUCCUGAUGCUCUGUCAGAUGUACGACAUGUUAUGUGUAUUAAUUGAUACAAGUCCUUACUGAAUUCAGCAGCUUUGUGCACAAGCACCAGAAGAGAAAGCAACAUGACUCCGACGACUGCAUCUCUUCUGAAGGAUUUUCUCAUCUCCUGUUCCCUGACUUACAGAACUGAUCUUUUUAAUCUGGUCCUCUAAAUGGUUCAUUUUGGAGUGAAAUUCUGAUUUUUGAUUGUGCUCUUUUUCCUCUUGGCAGAAUCAUUCAGGUGAAUUCAGCUAUAUUUGUUAGUGCUGCUAUAGAUUUGAAACUUGAUUUUCGAGCAAGUAAAGCAUUUGCUAAAAAGAUAGACCCUCUCUAUAUAUUUUUCAAUCUGAUCUGUGCCACCUUCUGGUGCUUAUUCACAGAUCUUACUCUGUUUAUUUUGUUCUGAAUAAAUCAAUGGGCUGAAUCCCCCCGGCACAGCUCUGGCAGACCAGCAAGGCUACCUACAUUUUGCAGAUGAAUAAACCGUCCAAACACUUAAAAUGGAGAAGCAGCCCUGAAUUCUGUUGCAUGCUCGUUGCUCUUCACUUGUGGCUUUCAGCUUACUAUUCACAACAAACAAAUGAGGACAAACACCUACACCCUUCUCCUGGUAUGAGCAUCGUGCCCCAGUGUCACCCACUGCCACUGUGUGCAGUUUGCUGCCUCCCCCUCCCUUGGCUGACAGUCCGUCCCCACUUCUUGGUCCUUGAUCCCUCCCUGCCUCUCUCUUGUGGUUUGUUUUUGGGUUUUGUUUUGUUUUUUUCUUUUUUUUUUUUCCUUUUCUUCCCUGUAUAUUGUGGGAUUGCCCCUUUUUGAUUUCUUUUUCUUUCCUUUUUUUUUUUUUUGGUAGCUCAUCCCCCAGGACUCUUUUCUCUCUGAUUCAAGAUAGUGCUUGAAUCUGGUGGGGAAAAAAGCAAACCUUGAGUGCUGGAGGGGCUUGUGCAGGACUUCAGAAGUAGAAUGGAAACAAAUGGUGAAGCAAUACAGAGAGGGGAGCGGACAAAGGGAGAGAGGAGCUAGCACCGCAAUAACAGAACCCCAGGGAAACUGUGCUCUGGGGUGAGCUGGGGGCCCUUUCACCGUAGAUGAAGUCUGUUAAAUACAGACUGACACUUCAGCUGAACUCAGCAUCGGGAUGUUAGAAUUGGAGAAACGCCCCAUGGACUGUCCUUGAACCAACAAGAUUUGAGUCAAACAAGACUUCAGGGUCACAGCCACAGCCCUGAGCGGCACAGGGAACAGACGCAUCUCUGCACCUCAUGGUACCUGGCGAGGACAGCUUUUCAGCCCCAGAAGUUACUUAACGCAGAACACAACGGGAGCCCUCUCUGGAAGGACAAAAAGAAUUGCUCACUGCCAUGCAAGCGUCCAGCUGUAUUCAGCUUGCUUUUGGGCUGGUGUUGCCUUCAGUCCCUCUCUCCCACGUCAGCCAGUUCCUUAACCAGUGCCCUCCACUUCCAUCCCUCCUGCUGUGAAACCCCGGUGGUGGCUGCACCCUCCUGGGCGAUGCAGGGCUUGCAGAAGACCUUUAGUCCCGUGCCUCCAGGUGCAAGGGCAGGAAGGUGGAGAGACAUGAGAGUAGCUGCUCAUCCUCUGGUGCGUGGUAGGAGCUCGACCCAUCUGUGGAGUGACUCACAGCGUCAGGAGACUGAUUAAGCAGACGAAUACCUCUGUGUGGGUUAUAAAUAGCCUAAGGAGUACAUAGCCUAUUUCAAGGCAAAGUCAGAGGAUGACCUUGAUCGUCGUCACUGGCAGCUUACAUCAGCCGAUGUGCCUUUGCCCAGAGGUGGAUCAAACAGGCGUGCAUGUCGGAGCAGGGAUAGCUGCGAGGAGAAACUCCUUCUCCGGGGAAUCUCACUGGCGACUCUCCUGUCGCUGCAUUACCUGACUGCAGCUCCAGCCCGGCAUCAGUAACUACGGAUGGAAAUGCGGUGUCAGCAUGUUAGCAGACACGCUGUGAAUAAGCUUGCGGACAGGACCCUUCAGACCACGUACGUUUAAUCUUAGUGAUGGAUUUAGCUGGGGUACAAGGGAGUUGCCUUCUCCACCAGUGCAGCCAAGUUUAUCCGGGACUGUGAAUUGAUCUGAGCCCCUGGAUGCCUACAAGUACGGCCCUGCUAUUAGGGAGCAGAAGUGGGGACACUUCAAUAGCAGGUCUCUCUUGGAAAGACCCAUUAACCCCUCCCCCCCCCCCCCGUUAAUCCAGAGAUACUCAGUGGGGUUUGUCUCAUCUCUGUCCAUUUAACCUCAGCUGUGCGCUGUUUCUUCAGCCCAGGCAGCUGAUUGCGUUCCCAAUUCCACUUAAGCUGGCAGAGUAUCUUCGAACAGCCCAUUACAGCUGCCAGUCAUCUAAAUUACAUCAUUUGCAUUGAUUUGAUUAAUACAAAGAGGUUUUAUCCAUUUAGAACGGAAACUGAUUUUCUGUUGCCGUUGUGCACACGACGCCUGGAGACGAAGGCACGUCGGGCUUGCUUUGCCUUCCAGACAUCUCUGUUCCCACCGCGCGGCUGGUGCCCAUCAGCUCACGGAGGUACCGCACUGUGCAGUCAGCGAGGCCCGUUUCAGGGCGUCCCUGCUUGUUUCCCACCCACCAGGAAUCAUUUUAUCAAUGCUGUAUUUUCCCUGCACAGUUGCCACUUUUCUCCUAUCAAAGAGAUGAAACACAACUACCUUGUGCUAGGACACAGCCACGAGAGAACAUAUUAAACUGAAGCUCAUCACCUCAUCGGCCUAUGGGUUGCAAAGUAUUUGAACAAUGAAUUGAACUCUUUUCCUCCGAAAUGAAGCCAUUUGUCUCCUAAAAGGGAACUUCCCUAUGAUGAAGAAAUCCAAAAUUCCACUGGGGUUACAUCUUUGCUUCAACACUGCUUUUCUCCCGUAGCUGUGGAGAAAUGUAAUGCUAAAAAAAAGUAGAAAAUGGUAUUUUAUUGUGUCAGUGAAAGGAGGGGUGAAGUGAGAAAGGGAAAGCUUAAUUUAAAAAAAAACAAAAAAGGCAGAGAGAGUUUCUGUUACAGAUGGAAGGUGGAACCACAAACUCCAGAAAGCCAGAUCAAAUGCCAUACAGAUAGAUUCCCUCAGUGAUUAAUUAGUUUGUCAGGAAAAAAAAAAAAAAAAGUCAAAUAAACUGUGUUUUUCACUGUUUCUUUUGCCGGAUCCCAUGUUACGCUCUUGACGAUCCCAAGGGGAACCCUCCGCUGCUGUCUGUCUCAAACCACUUUGUUCUGGUGCCCUCUGCUCAGUCCCAGGCUGCUCCCGCCUGCAGAGAGCGUGGAAAGAGAACAGAAAAACCUCAGCGCCUAUGGGGAACAGUUAUUUUUGGGGAGUGUUAUCAACUUACCUUUCAUUGCACUCUGUUUUGAGGCAGCAAGGCUUUUGCUUGGUGACUUUAGGACAAAACAAGUUGCUCAUUCUCUCUUCUGAAAGAUAUCCCAUGUCUGGAAGGGAGCUGAGGCCAGAAUGGGGAGAGAGAAAGCGUCACGACGAGCAUGAACUGCCUCUCUGAUCUGGUUUGGUGUCAUCCUAGCCUGUGGAGUAGGAAAUGUUCUGACUGCAUGCAGCAAUGACAGAGUUAGAUAGUCUGUAAUUACCAUCAGUUGUUAUAUAUGUUUGUUAUAUAGCCAGUGUAAGAGAAAAAUUGCUCAAUAAAAUUUUUGCUUCGUGAAGCUAUGGGAACUUUGCAGCAUAAAUAGCUAUGUAUACAUUGGUGUCAGACCUUGUGGCAUCUAUGUUCUUAAGGGGAAAAAAAAUCAUCAUAUUUAAUCACUAAGCUAGUAAGAGUGCUUUUAUCUUGUCCUAGACACCGCCACCCUUGCCGCACUUCGCAGGCCUGGCACGCAGGCGUGUCCGUGUGCCCUGCAAACCUGUGCUGAAGGUGGUGUCUCAGCUCGGCUCAUUGCCCAGCUGCGGUAACAAACAUUGAUGAAGAUAGAACUGAAAAUGCUGAAACACUCAAGGAAUAGUCAGUGUCCUCAAUUACAUUUGUCGAGUGAAUCUGAGAGUAAAACCUGCUGCCCUACAGGUCUGAUCCUGCUGGCACGUCCUGCAGGGGGGAGCCACGGGGCAGCCUGGUGG
This is a long non-coding RNA of Grus americana (Whooping crane), 5993 nucleotides long. RefSeq lists it as uncharacterized. The transcript is spliced from 3 exons. NCBI's taxonomy places the organism in Eukaryota, Metazoa, Chordata, Aves, Gruiformes, Gruidae. The record is from RefSeq and is a predicted model, not a curated record.